GGCUCAGGAUGAACGCUAGCGGCAGGCUUAACACAUGCAAGUCGAGGGGGUANAAGGGAGCUUGCUCCUUUGAGACCGGCGCACGGGUGCGUAACGCGUAUGCAAUCUACCUUUUGCAGAGGGAUAGCCCAGAGAAAUUUGGAUUAAUGCCCCAUAGUAUAAUUGAAUGGCAUCAUUUAAUUAUUAAAGUCACAACGGUAAAGAUGAGCAUGCGUCCCAUUAGUUAGUUGGUAAGGUAACGGCUUACCAAGACAAUGAUGGGUAGGGGUCCUGAGAGGAGAUCCCCCACACUGGUACUGAGACACGGACCAGACUCCUACGGGAGGCAGCAGUGAGGAAUAUUGGACAAUGGGCGCAAGCCUGAUCCAGCCAUGCCGCGUGCAGGAAGACGGUCCUAUGGAUUGUAAACUGCUUUUAUACAGGAAGAAACACUCCGACGUGUCGGAGCUUGACGGUACUGUAGGAAUAAGGAUCGGCUAACUCCGUG
Molecule: ribosomal RNA, 487 nt
Filed under: uncultured bacterium
Lineage: Bacteria
Description: bacterial SSU rRNA
Rfam family: Bacterial small subunit ribosomal RNA
Source: RNAcentral